GCGAAAACUUUACAAUGCUGGCAACAGCGAUAAGGGAACCUCGAGUGCCAGGUUACAAAUCUGGCUGUCGAGAUGCCUAAAAGGCAUUUCAUAGCAAGGGCCGGGCAAGACCGGUGCCAGCCGCCGCGGUAACACCGGCGGCUCGAGUGGUAACCGUUAUUAUUGGGUCUAAAGGGUCUGUAGCCGGCCGGAUAAGUCUCUUGAGAAAUCUGGCAGCUUAACUGUCAGGCUUUCAGGAGAUACUGUCUGGCUCGAGGCCGGGAGAGGUGAGAGGUACUUCAGGGGUAGGGGUGAAAUCUUGUAAUCCUUGAAGGACCACCAGUGGCGAAGGCGUCUCACCAGAACGGACCCGACGGCAAGGGACGAAAGCUAGGGGCACGAACC
Molecule: ribosomal RNA, 384 nt
Filed under: uncultured prokaryote
Description: bacterial SSU rRNA
Rfam family: Archaeal small subunit ribosomal RNA
Source: RNAcentral